Magnolia sinica is the source of this 1038-nucleotide long non-coding RNA. RefSeq lists it as uncharacterized. NCBI's taxonomy places the organism in Eukaryota, Viridiplantae, Streptophyta, Magnoliopsida, Magnoliales, Magnoliaceae. The transcript is spliced from 2 exons. The record is from RefSeq and is a predicted model, not a curated record.
UGGGAAACUCUGAAGUUUGUUAUGUCGUGACUGAUGUAACUAGCCAAACAAAACCACUACUGAUUUAGUUAUAAUAUAGUAGAAGGUUCUACACACAUGAUCUUGACUUUUCUUGUUUGUGAACUGUCGUUAUUUUAUCAUUACUUUCAUGUCAUUGGUGUCAUGUUCAAGUGUCAAGGCAAUUUUAUAUGCUCCAAAGAUGAGAUGCAUCAGGUUUUCUGUUUGUUACUGUUACUAGGUGGGAAGGCGAAAAUCAGCCUGCAAAUGAGAAGGGUAAGCUGUGUUGCACGGAAAGCCCCAAGUUUUAGUGGUCCACUAAUGCUUUCAAACCAAGCUUCUGCAAACAGUUUAUCCUUUUGACUGAGCUGGAAAGGGAGAGGACUGCUAGGUCAGAUUUGGAAAGGGCUGCCCAUGUUGAUUUAUUAGACAUCAAAACAGAGAUUUUUCCCUUCAUUUCUUAGGUAAUGUGAUGAAGAACUUUGGAAAGGGAUUAGUUUCAUUCAGUUGUGAAAAACUUGAACUAUCAGUAAAGAAAAAUUCAGAUCAUACAAGCCUUCUGAAGACAUGACCUUUGAUGUGCAUUAGCUCUGCCAUCGCCAUACAUAUCAUGUUAAGCUGUCAAUUGUGCCCUUCCUUUUUGAUCUUUCUAUUCUAUGUUAUUCAUUUCCCUGGGCACUUAUAUGGCUCUCAUGACAGUUAUAUUCUUUUGGGAAGCUUAUGAGACUAAUUCUUUUACGGUAACCUCUCACUCUCCUUAUUGCAGUAACCAGCAUUUUACACUAGCAUGUGUUUGAUGCUUCAUUACAGUUUCUUUUUUCAUAAUAAAAGUCUCCGUUAUAGCGUUUGGUUGCAUCAGUGAUUGACUUGAUCCUUGCAAUCAUGGUAGCAAGUGUUUGUUGUGAUCAGCUAACAUCUGAUCAUGUAUAUCCUCCACGGGAGUGUUGAUUUUGCAAGAAUCUGUAAGGGCAGGUCUAGCAACCAGCAGAAUGGAAGUACUUUCUGCAUAAGUUUUAUUAUGCUAUAUUUCCAUGAAGGUUU